RNAcentral lists this transfer RNA (72 nucleotides) under Camelus bactrianus (Bactrian camel). It matches the Rfam family "tRNA". Rfam says of the family: Transfer RNA (tRNA) molecules are approximately 80 nucleotides in length. Their secondary structure includes four short double-helical elements and three loops (D, anti-codon, and T loops). Lineage: Eukaryota; Metazoa; Chordata; Mammalia; Artiodactyla; Camelidae. The record is from Rfam by way of RNAcentral. RNAcentral also lists the same sequence under 1 other name.
GAGGGUAUAGCUCAGUGGUAGAGUGCGUGCUUAGCAUGCGCGAGAUCCUGAGUUCGAUCCCCAGUACCUCCA